This 408-nucleotide ribosomal RNA is filed under the name uncultured bacterium. RNAcentral's name for it is "partial 16S ribosomal RNA". It matches the Rfam family "Bacterial small subunit ribosomal RNA", at positions 29 to 526 of the family's 1533-position model. The record is from RNAcentral.
AGUGAACGCUGGCGGCGUGCCUAAUACAUGCAAGUCGAACGGCGUGGCGCACAGGUGAGUAAUAUAUAGCUAAUCUGCCCCUUGCUGGAGGACCACAGUUAGAAAUGACUGCUAAAACUCCAUAGCAAGGGAUGAGAGUAUAUCGUAUCAGCUAGUCGGUGGGGUCACGGCCUACCGCGGCGAUGACGCGUAACUGGUCUGAGAGGAUGAUCAGUCACAUUGGAACUGAGACACGGUCCAAAAACAGACGAGAGGCAGCAGUAGGGAAUAUUGCGCAAUGGGGGAAGACGUGACGCAGCAACGCCUCGUGGAGUAUGACACUUUUCGGAGCGUAAACUCCUUUUGUUAGGGAAGCGGUACCUAACGAAUAAGCACCGGCUAACUCCGUGCCAGCAGCCGCGGUAAUAC